This 117-nucleotide ribosomal RNA is filed under the name Lepisosteus oculatus (spotted gar). The record is from RNAcentral. Lineage: Eukaryota; Metazoa; Chordata; Actinopteri; Semionotiformes; Lepisosteidae.
GCCAGCAGCCAUAUCACUCUGCAACACAACUGGCAACCCACUGAAGCUCAGUAGGUGUGAGCCUGGUCAGUACCUGGAUGGGAGACCUCCUGGGAAAAACUAAGGCUGCUGCUGGAA